UACGAAGGGGGCUAGCGUUGCUCGGAAUCACUGGGCGUAAAGGGUGCGUAGGCGGGUCUUUAAGUCAGGGGUGAAAUCCUGGAGCUCAACUCCAGAACUGCCUUUGAUACUGAGGAUCUUGAGUCCGGGAGAGGUGAGUGGAACUGCGAGUGUAGAGGUGAAAUUCGUAGAUAUUAGGAAGAACACCGGUGGCGAAGGCGGCCCACUGGUCCGGUACUGACGCUGAGGUGCGAAAGCGUGGGGAGCAAACAGG
RNAcentral lists this ribosomal RNA (253 nucleotides) under uncultured bacterium. RNAcentral describes it as "partial 16S ribosomal RNA". It matches the Rfam family "Bacterial small subunit ribosomal RNA", at positions 524 to 776 of the family's 1533-position model. The record is from RNAcentral.